CUAGGGUGGAACACAUUAUGUGACUAUCCUAUAUGGACUGCUGGCCAAGGACUUUGAAAUUCCUGAGGAAAACAUGUCUCUAUAUUUUAAGCUGUGAAGUGAGACUGGGCAUAUGCAGUGACUCUUACAAAUAUUGUUUGAAAAAAAAAUAAUGAUUAGAUGAAGAGUGAUGUGGAUGCUUAUAUAAUUUGGGGAAUGUCUUGAAAGUCUUGAAAAGUUCUCUUAUGUGUGAGGAGG
This is a non-coding RNA of Pelobates cultripes (western spadefoot toad), 237 nucleotides long. The record is from the annotation of a GenBank genome assembly. Lineage: Eukaryota; Metazoa; Chordata; Amphibia; Anura; Pelobatidae.